UGGGGAAUUUUGGACAAUGGGGGAAACCCUGAUCCAGCCAUUCCGCGUGAGUGAAGAAGGCCUUCGGGUUGUAAAGCUCUUUUGUCCGGAGCGAAACGGUUACGGUGAAUAUCCGUGACUACUGACGGUACCGGAAGAAUAAGCACCGGCUAACUACGUGCCAGCAGCCGCGGUAAUACGUAGGGUGCGAGCGUUAAUCGGAAUUACUGGGCGUAAAGCGUGCGCAGGCGGUUUUGUAAGCCAGAUGUGAAAUCCCCGGGCUUAACCUGGGAAUGGCAUUUGGGACUGCAAGGCUUGAGUGCGGCAGAGGAGACUGGAAUUCCUGGUGUAGCAGUGAAAUGCGUAGAUAUCAGGAGGAACACCGAUGGCGAAGGCAGGUCUCUGGGCUGACACUGACGCUCAUGCACGAAAGCGUGGGGAGCAAACAGG
RNAcentral lists this ribosomal RNA (429 nucleotides) under uncultured bacterium. RNAcentral describes it as "bacterial SSU rRNA". It matches the Rfam family "Bacterial small subunit ribosomal RNA", at positions 355 to 776 of the family's 1533-position model. The record is from RNAcentral.